CAACCCGCAAGGGGGAGCUAAUCCCAUCAAAGCCGGCCCCAGUUCGGAUUGAGGGCUGCAACCCGCCCUCAUGAAGCCGGAAUCGCUAGUAAUCGCGCAUCAGCCAUGGCGCGGUGAAUACGUUCUCGAGUUUUGUACUCAGAAAUAAAGGCGCCUGGCAGCUAUUGAAUCUAAGUUGUUAAAAUCAACUCCUCC
This 195-nucleotide ribosomal RNA is filed under the name Patescibacteria group bacterium. Its description in RNAcentral is "partial 16S ribosomal RNA". It matches the Rfam family "Bacterial small subunit ribosomal RNA", at positions 1251 to 1533 of the family's 1533-position model. The record is from RNAcentral.